Amblyraja radiata (thorny skate) is the source of this 292-nucleotide long non-coding RNA. RefSeq lists it as uncharacterized. The record is from RefSeq and is a predicted model, not a curated record. Lineage: Eukaryota; Metazoa; Chordata; Chondrichthyes; Rajiformes; Rajidae. The transcript has 5 exons.
CUUUUCUUGUUAUAGGGGAUACCUGGUUCUACUGGACCUCCAGGUCAAAAAGGAGAACUGGGAGUCCGAGGUCGACAGGGCCAACGUGGAAAUCCGGGGCUUGAUGGAAUAACUGGAGACAAUGGUCGAACAGGGAGCACUGGUCAAUCUGGGAAUUCUGGAAAACAAGGUGUGGGAGGAAUAGGUGGACCCCGUGGAAUAAUGGGGAUAGAUGGCAAGCAUGGAUUUGGUUCCUCUGGACCAAAAGGCAGAGAGGGAGGACAAGGAAGCUCUGGAUAUCUUAGUUCGCAGG